Molecule: ribosomal RNA, 279 nt
Filed under: Callosobruchus maculatus (cowpea weevil)
Lineage: Eukaryota; Metazoa; Arthropoda; Insecta; Coleoptera; Chrysomelidae
Description: partial small subunit ribosomal RNA
Source: RNAcentral
GCUAAUUAGUAAAAGUUAUGUUCUUGAAAAUUAAAAAAUUUGGCGGUAUUUUAGUCUUUUCAGAGGAACCUGUCCUGUAAUUGAUAGUCCACGAUUAGAAAAACUUUAUUUAUUAAUUUAUAUAUCGUUGUAGUUUGAAUAUUUUAAGAGAAGUUAAAUAUUCAUAAUUUUAAAUUAAAAAAUAAAUCAGAUCAAGGUAUAGUUUAUAAUAAAGUAGAGAUGGGUUACAUUAAAAAUAUUUAAGGAUAAUUUUUUUUAAAAGGAUUUGAAUGUGGAUUU